Molecule: ribosomal RNA, 506 nt
Filed under: uncultured bacterium
Lineage: Bacteria
Description: partial 16S ribosomal RNA
Rfam family: Bacterial small subunit ribosomal RNA
Source: RNAcentral
AGUGAACGCUGGCGGUAGGCCUAACACAUGCAAGUCGAACGGCAGCACAGGAGAGCUUGCUCUCUGGGUGGCGAGUGGCGGACGGGUGAGGAAUACAUCGGAAUCUACUUUUUCGUGGGGGAUAACGUAGGGAAACUUACGCUAAUACCGCAUACGACCUACGGGUGAAAGCAGGGGACCUUCGGGCCUUGCGCGAUGGAAUGAGCCGAUGUCGGAUUAGCUGGUUGGCGGGGUAAAGGCCCACCAAGGCGACGAUCCGUAGCUGGUCUGGGUGGAUGAACAGGCACACUGGGACUGAGACACGGUCCAGAGUCCUACGGGAGGCAGCAGUGGGGAAUAUUGGACGAUGGGCGCAAGCCUGAUCCAGCCAUACCGGGUGGGUGAAGAAGGCAUUCGGGUUGUAAAGCCCUUUUGUUGGGAAAGAAAUCCAGCGCGCUAAUACCCGGUUGGGAUGACGGUACCCAAAGAAUAAGCACCGGCUAACUUCGUGCCAGCAGCCGCCGUAA